Molecule: ribosomal RNA, 869 nt
Filed under: uncultured bacterium
Lineage: Bacteria
Description: bacterial SSU rRNA
Rfam family: Bacterial small subunit ribosomal RNA
Source: RNAcentral
CGGCGAACGGUCGAGUAACACGUAACCGACCUGCCCUUGGGUCUGGGAUAGCCCACCGAAAGGUGGAUUAAUACCGGAUUGUCUCAUUGAAAUGCAUGUUUUAAUGAGUAAAGAUUUAUCGCCUAAGGAGGGGGUUGCGGCCUAUCAGCUGGUUGGUGAGGUAACGGCUCACCAAGGCGACGACGGGUAGCUGGUCUGAGAGGAUGGUCAGCCGGAUUGGGACUGAGACACGGCCCAAACUCCUACGGGGGGCAGCAAUCAGGAAUCUUGCGCAAUGGGGGCAACCCUGACGCAGCGACGUCGCGUGGAGGAAGACGGCCUUCGGGUUGUAAACUCCUUUUAGUGGGGACGAGCAAGGACGGUACCCACUGAAUAAGCCCCGGCUAACUCCGUGCCAGCAGCCGCGGUAAUACGGAGGGGGCGAGCGUUGUCCGAAUUUAUUGGGCGUAAAGCGCGUGUAGGCGGACUAUUAAGCCUGAGGUGAAAGGUUGGGGCUCAACCCCAUACAGUGCCUUGGGAACUGGCAGUCUGGAGGCAGGCAGAGGAGUGUGGAAUUCCUGGUGUAGCGGUGGAAUGCGUAGAGAUCAGGAAGAACACCCAUGGCGAAGGCAGCACUCUGGGCCUGUACUGACGCUGAGACGCGAAAGCGCGGGGAGCGAACAGGAUUAGAUACCCUGGUAGUCCGCGCCGUAAACGAUGGAUGCUCGGUGUUGGGGGUAUCGACCCCCUCAGCGCCUUAGUUAACACGGUAAGCAUCCCGCCUGGGGAGUACGGCCGCAAGGUUGAAACUCAAAGGAAUUGACGGGGGCCCGCACAAGCGGUGGAGCAUGUUGUUUAAUACGUCACUAACCGUAGAACCUUACCAGGUC